Molecule: long non-coding RNA, 601 nt
Organism: Exaiptasia diaphana
Lineage: Eukaryota; Metazoa; Cnidaria; Anthozoa; Actiniaria; Aiptasiidae
Exons: 2
Source: RefSeq, a predicted model, not a curated record
AGUCACCAACUUGUUCCACGUAGAACGCAAAAAACGCCUAAACAUUUGGUUGAAAAUGGUAGAUCUAAACGAUCCUAAAUCACCCGAAAGCUUUAAAGUUGAUGUACAAUUUCUACUUCUACCUGGAUUUAUUUUAGCUACUCUAGUAGGAAUAUUUAUUUACAAAAUAAUUAAAGCAAACAAAGAUAGGGAAUCAGCAAAGGUUGAAAAGCGAAAGUUGAAGCAAGAAAAGAAAAAGAAAUAGACACCGUCACAAAARAGAGAAUACAAUAUAGUUUUGAAAUUUUACUAUACAGAAAGCAUCAUGUAUAACGACAUUAUAUUGAUUUAAAAACUUCACAAUCAGUGAUAAGAUAUUAUCAACAAAAGGGAAAACUUUGAUCGAGCACAUUUACACCAUCUUGUGCCGACGACUGAAGAAUAAGUGAUAUUUGUAAAAUUAUAUGGAAACCUCUGGCCAGAUUGUUUCUAAAACAAAAUUUAUCUCACAGCAUUGGUGARUUCUUUCUUAGAAUUAUUGGCUCUUGCUAAUCCUGUACAAGUGGAAACUUUAAUGAAGAAUACAGUCAUUUUUAAAUUUAAAAAUUAAGCUACAAAAAAC